RNAcentral lists this ribosomal RNA (1441 nucleotides) under uncultured organism. RNAcentral's name for it is "SSU rRNA". It matches the Rfam family "Bacterial small subunit ribosomal RNA". The record is from RNAcentral.
CAGGCUUAACACAUGCAAGUCGAGGGGCAGCAUGGUCUUAGCUUGCUAAGACUGAUGGCGACCGGCGCACGGGUGAGUAACACGUAUCCAACCUGCCGUCUACUCUUGGACAGCCUUCUGAAAGGAAGAUUAAUACAAGAUGGCAUCAUGAGUCCGCAUGUUCACAUGAUUAAAGGUAUUCCGGUAGACGAUGGGGAUGCGUUCCAUUAGAUAGUAGGCGGGGUAACGGCCCACCUAGUCUUCGAUGGAUAGGGGUUCUGAGAGGAAGGUCCCCCACAUUGGAACUGAGACACGGUCCAAACUCCUACGGGAGGCAGCAGUGAGGAAUAUUGGUCAAUGGGCGAGAGCCUGAACCAGCCAAGUAGCGUGAAGGAUGACUGCCCUAUGGGUUGUAAACUUCUUUUAUAAAGGAAUAAAGUCGGGUAUGGAUACCCGUUUGCAUGUACUUUAUGAAUAAGGAUCGGCUAACUCCGUGCCAGCAGCCGCGGUAAUACGGAGGAUCCGAGCGUUAUCCGGAUUUAUUGGGUUUAAAGGGAGCGUAGAUGGAUGUUUAAGUCAGUUGUGAAAGUUUGCGGCUCAACCGUAAAAUUGCAGUUGAUACUGGAUAUCUUGAGUGCAGUUGAGGCAGGCGGAAUUCGUGGUGUAGCGGUGAAAUGCUUAGAUAUCACGAAGAACUCCGAUUGCGAAGGCAGCCUGCUAAGCUGCAACUGACAUUGAGGCUCGAAAGUGUGGGUAUCAAACAGGAUUAGAUACCCUGGUAGUCCACACGGUAAACGAUGAAUACUCGCUGUUUGCGAUAUACUGCAAGCGGCCAAGCGAAAGCGUUAAGUAUUCCACCUGGGGAGUACGCCGGCAACGGUGAAACUCAAAGGAAUUGACGGGGGCCCGCACAAGCGGAGGAACAUGUGGUUUAAUUCGAUGAUACGCGAGGAACCUUACCCGGGCUUAAAUUGCAGAUGAAUUACGGUGAAAGCCGUAAGCCGCAAGGCAUCUGUGAAGGUGCUGCAUGGUUGUCGUCAGCUCGUGCCGUGAGGUGUCGGCUUAAGUGCCAUAACGAGCGCAACCCUUGUUGUCAGUUACUAACAGGUUCCGCUGAGGACUCUGACAAGACUGCCAUCGUAAGAUGUGAGGAAGGUGGGGAUGACGUCAAAUCAGCACGGCCCUUACGUCCGGGGCUACACACGUGUUACAAUGGGGGGUACAGAGGGCCGCUACCACGCGAGUGGAUGCCAAUCCCAAAAACCUCUCUCAGUUCGGACUGGAGUCUGCAACCCGACUCCACGAAGCUGGAUUCGCUAGUAAUCGCGCAUCAGCCACGGCGCGGUGAAUACGUUCCCGGGCCUUGUACACACCGCCCGUCAAGCCAUGGGAGCCGGGGGUACCUGAAGUGCGUAACCGCGAGGAGCGCCCUAGGGUAAAACUGGUGACUGGGGCUAAGUAA